Molecule: ribosomal RNA, 253 nt
Filed under: uncultured bacterium
Lineage: Bacteria
Description: partial 16S ribosomal RNA
Rfam family: Bacterial small subunit ribosomal RNA
Source: RNAcentral
UACAGAGGGGGCAAGCGUUGUUCGGAAUUACUGGGCGUAAAGGGCGCGUAGGCGGCCCGCUAAGUCGAACGUGAAAUCCCUGGGCUCAACCCGGGAACUGCGUCCGAUACUGGCAGGCUUGAAUCCGGGAGAGGGAUGCGGAAUUCCAGGUGUAGCGGUGAAAUGCGUAGAUAUCUGGAGGAAUACCGGUGGCGAAGGCGGCAUCCUGGACCGACAUUGACGCUGAGGAGCGAAAGCUAGGGGAGCAAACGGG